GAUGAACGCUGGCGGCGUGCCUAAUACAUGCAAGUCGAGCGAACGGACGAGAAGCUUGCUUCUCUGAUGUUAGCGGCGGACGGGUGAGUAACACGUGGAUAACCUACCUAUAAGACUGGGAUAACUUCGGGAAACCGGAGCUAAUACCGGAUAAUAUUUUGAACCGCAUGGUUCAAAAGUGAAAGACGGUCUUGCUGUCACUUAUAGAUGGAUCCGCGCUGCAUUAGCUAGUUGGUAAGGUAACGGCUUACCAAGGCAACGAUGCAUAGCCGACCUGAGAGGGUGAUAGGCCACACUGGAACGGAGACAGGGUCCAGACUCCUACGGGAGGCAGCAGUAGGGAAUCUGCCGCAAUGGGCGAAAGCCUGACGGAGCAACGCCGCGUGAGUGAUGAAGGUCUUCGGAUCGUAAAACUCUGUUAUUAGGGAAGAACAUAUGUGUAAGUAACUGUGCACAUCUUGACGGUACCUAAUCAGAAAGCCACGGCUAACUACGUG
RNAcentral lists this ribosomal RNA (497 nucleotides) under uncultured bacterium. Its description in RNAcentral is "partial 16S ribosomal RNA". It matches the Rfam family "Bacterial small subunit ribosomal RNA", at positions 28 to 507 of the family's 1533-position model. The record is from RNAcentral.